GUGCUUGCUUCGGCAGCACGUAUACUAAAAUUGGAACGAUACAGAGAAGAUUAGCAUGGCCCCUGUGGAAGGAUGACAUGUAAAUUCGUGAGGGAUCGGGAUGGGGAAUACAUGUAAAU
This 119-nucleotide small nuclear RNA is filed under the name Cervus hanglu yarkandensis (Yarkand deer). Lineage: Eukaryota; Metazoa; Chordata; Mammalia; Artiodactyla; Cervidae. The record is from RNAcentral.